CGGGGUGUAGCGCAGCCCGGUAGCGCGCUUGCUUGGGGUGCAAGAGGUCGUGGGUUCAAAUCCCGCCACUCCGA
RNAcentral lists this transfer RNA (74 nucleotides) under Bacteroidia bacterium. RNAcentral's name for it is "tRNA-Pro". It matches the Rfam family "tRNA". From Rfam's summary of the family: Transfer RNA (tRNA) molecules are approximately 80 nucleotides in length. Their secondary structure includes four short double-helical elements and three loops (D, anti-codon, and T loops). Lineage: Bacteria; Pseudomonadati; Bacteroidota; Bacteroidia. The record is from RNAcentral. RNAcentral also lists the same sequence under 1 other name.